CAGUCGCCACGGGAAUACAGAGGGUGCGAGCGUUAAUCGGAUUUACUGGGCGUAAAGCGUGCGUAGGCGGCUUCUUAAGUCGGAUGUGAAAUCCCUGAGCUUAACUUAGGAAUUGCAUUCGAUACUGGGAAGCUAGAGUAUGGGAGAGGAUGGUAGAAUUCCAGGUGUAGCGGUGAAAUGCGUAGAGAUCUGGAGGAAUACCGGUGGCGAAGGCGGCCCCCUGGACAAAGACUGACGCUCAGGUGCGAAAGCGUGGGGAGCAAACAGGAUUAGAUACCCCUGUAGUCCCUGUCUCUUAUAC
RNAcentral lists this ribosomal RNA (301 nucleotides) under uncultured bacterium. RNAcentral describes it as "partial 16S ribosomal RNA". It matches the Rfam family "Bacterial small subunit ribosomal RNA", at positions 509 to 807 of the family's 1533-position model. The record is from RNAcentral.